CACUUAUUUCGGCAAAGGAAGAGACGGUAUUUUCGGACACGUGUUGGCAAAAUGAGAGGAGAGAAGGGGAGCGUGUGUUCGGUUUGCUUUGGUUCCGUUCUCUUUCUCUCGACGAUGGCUACCUCUCUGGUUUGAUCUAAGAUUCAGAUUUGAUUCUGAUAAAGGGUUUGUUAAUCUGGUCGAAAACUAUGAAAAAAUUUUGUUUCUUUAUGAUCCUUGUCUGCUUAAACGCAGUCUUUUCUAGUGGUUACCAGACGCUCUUGAACACUGAUAUGGAAAGAGAACUUGAUCAUAUGCCCAGGUUCUUUGAAACCGCUGUUGCUUAUAAGCAGAAGAUUGGUUUCAACCGCUUUUGAUGAGGCGAGAGAUUACAGAUAUUGAACACUUGUUCAUUGCUCAUAUCAGUGGAAUGGACACAGUCGCUCGUGGACUGAAAAAUGCAGCCAAGAUGUUGGAGAUCUGCACAAGUUGGAGGUUUUGGAGAAGCUUGAAGCAAAACUAAAGGCUGAAGGGAAGGAAGAAGAGAAUGGAGAAGGAGAAGGUGAUGAUGAAGCUGAUGAAUCUGAGGGACACUAUCUUUCCCAAGAAACAGCACUCCCAUUUCCUCACACAUCCUCUCUGCACCUCCUCCACUGCCGCCAAACACUUGACUCCACACAAACACAUCAUUUAAAAGAAGCUCUGGUGGAUUCUCUCUUACGUAAGAGAUCAUCUCUUCCGUCACGUCCACGA
Raphanus sativus (radish) is the source of this 732-nucleotide long non-coding RNA. RefSeq lists it as uncharacterized. The transcript is spliced from 6 exons. Lineage: Eukaryota; Viridiplantae; Streptophyta; Magnoliopsida; Brassicales; Brassicaceae. The record is from RefSeq and is a predicted model, not a curated record.